This 444-nucleotide ribosomal RNA is filed under the name uncultured bacterium. RNAcentral's name for it is "partial 16S ribosomal RNA". It matches the Rfam family "Bacterial small subunit ribosomal RNA", at positions 339 to 795 of the family's 1533-position model. The record is from RNAcentral.
CUACGGGGUGCUCCAGUGGGGAAUAUUGCACAAUGGGCGAAAGCCUGAUGCAGCAACGCCGCGUGAGGGACGACGGCCUUCGGGUUGUAAACCUCUUUUAGCAGGGAAGAAGCGAAAGUGACGGUACCUGCAGAAAAAGCACCGGCUAACUACGUGCCAGCAGCCGCGGUAAUACGUAGGGUGCAAGCGUUGUCCGGAAUUAUUGGGCGUAAAGAGCUCGUAGGCGGUUUGUCGCGUCUGCUGUGAAAAUCCGAGGCUCAACCUCGGACCUGCAGUGGGUACGGGCAAACUAGAGUGCGGUAGGGGAGAUUGGAAUUCCUGGUGUAGCGGUGGAAUGCGCAGAUAUCAGGAGGAACACCAAUGGCGAAGGCAGAUCUCUGGGCCGUAACUGACGCUGAGGAGCGAAAGCGUGGGGAGCGAACAGGAUUAGAUACCCUCGUAGUC